AUUGAACGCUGGCGGCAGGCUUAACACAUGCAAGUCGAGCGGGGUGAUGGUGCUUGCACUAUCACUUAGCGGCGGACGGGUGAGUAAUGCUUAGGAAUCUGCCUAUUAGUGGGGGACAACAUCUCGAAAGGGAUGCUAAUACCGCAUACGUCCUACGGGAGAAAGCAGGGGAUCACUUGUGACCUUGCGCUAAUAGAUGAGCCUAGUCGGAUUAGCUAGUUGGUGGGGUAAAGGCCUACCAAGGCGACGACCGGCAGCGGGUCUGAGAGGAUGAUCCGCCACACUGGGACUGAGACACGGCCCAGACUCCUACGGGAGGCAGCAGUGGGGAAUAUUGGAGAAUGGGGGGAAGCCUGAUCCAGCCAUGCAGCGUGUGUGAAGAAGGCCUUAUGGUGGUAAAGCACUUUAAGCGAGGAGGAGGCUCUUUUGGUUAAGACCCAAGAUGAGUGGACGUUACUCGCAGAAUAAGCACCGGCUAACUCUGUGCCAGCAGCCGCCGUAA
Molecule: ribosomal RNA, 502 nt
Filed under: uncultured bacterium
Lineage: Bacteria
Description: partial 16S ribosomal RNA
Rfam family: Bacterial small subunit ribosomal RNA
Source: RNAcentral